Haemonchus placei is the source of this 75-nucleotide non-coding RNA. The record is from Rfam. NCBI's taxonomy places the organism in Eukaryota, Metazoa, Nematoda, Chromadorea, Rhabditida, Trichostrongylidae.
GGCCCAAAUUUGAAGUAGUGUAGAUUAAAAGGAUCAUCUGACCCUACUAAACUACUCUACUUCGAGUUUGUGCCC